GGAACACAGGUGCUGCAUGGCUGUCGUCAGCUCGUGUCGUGAGAUGUUGGGUUAAGUCCCGCAACGAGCGCAACCCUUGUCAUUAGUUGCCAUCAUUGGUUGGGCACUCUAAUGAGACUGCCGGUGACAAACCGGAGGAAGGUGGGGAUGACGUCAAGUCCUCAUGGCCCUUAUGGGUAGGGCUUCACACGUCAUACAAUGGUCGGUACAGAGGGUUGCCAACCCGCGAGGGGGAGCUAAUCCCACAAAGCCGAUCGUAGUCCGGAUCGCAGUCUGCAACUCGACUGCGUGAAGUCGGAAUCGCUAGUAAUCGUGGAUCAGCAUGUCACGGUGAAUACGUUCCCGGGUCUU
RNAcentral lists this ribosomal RNA (351 nucleotides) under uncultured Rhodocyclaceae bacterium. RNAcentral's name for it is "bacterial SSU rRNA". It matches the Rfam family "Bacterial small subunit ribosomal RNA", at positions 1029 to 1382 of the family's 1533-position model. The record is from RNAcentral. Lineage: Bacteria; Pseudomonadati; Pseudomonadota; Betaproteobacteria; Rhodocyclales; Rhodocyclaceae.